CUUCCUGUUAACUCUUAAUAAACUUACACAUGCAAGCAUCUACACCCCAGUGAGAAUGCCCUCUAGGUUAUUAAAACUAAGAGGAGCUGGCAUCAAGCACACACCCUGUAGCUCACGACGCCUGGCUUAACCACACCCCCACGGGAAACAGCAGUGACAAAAAUUAAGCCAUAAACGAAAGUUUGACUAAGUUAUAUUAAUUAGGGUUGGUAAAUCUCGGUGCCAGCCACCGCGGUCAUACGAUUAACCCAAGCUAACAGGAGUACGGCGUAAAACGUGUUAAAGCACCAUACCAAAUAGGGUUAAAUUCUAACUAAGCUGUAAAAAGCCAUGAUUAAAAUAAAAAUAAAUGACGAAAGUGACCCUACAAUAGCCGACGCACUAUAGCUAAGAACCAAACUGGGAUUAGAUACCCCACUAUGCUUAGCCCUAAACACAGAUAUUACAUAAACAAAAUUAUUCGCCAGAGUACUACUAGCAACAGCUUAAAACUCAAAGGACUUGGCGGUGCUUUAUAUCCUUCUAGAGGAGCCCUGUUCUAUAAUCGAUAAACCCGAUAAAACUCACCAAUUCUUG
RNAcentral lists this ribosomal RNA (576 nucleotides) under Bos taurus (domestic cattle). RNAcentral describes it as "similar to 12S ribosomal RNA". It matches the Rfam family "Bacterial small subunit ribosomal RNA", at positions 156 to 983 of the family's 1533-position model. The record is from RNAcentral. Lineage: Eukaryota; Metazoa; Chordata; Mammalia; Artiodactyla; Bovidae.